CGGUAUUGACUUUGGGGAUGUGUCUGAGCGAAAAGAACUAAGAAAACGGCUGAAUUGUAAACCUUUCAAGUGGUACCUGGACAAUGUGUAUCCACUGCUGGAUAGCUGGGACGAUAUCCUGGCCUAUGGAGGACUGAAGAACCUCGAUGCCAACAUGUGUGUAGACCAAGGUCCAGUUCCAGGCCACACACCGAUUGCAUAUCACUGCUACUACUAUAUGCCUCAAUACACAUAUUUCCGAGGGACUGGUGAGCUUUACAUUGGUGGGAUCAAGUCCCAUAAGUACAAUGCUAAUCGCUGUUUGACGGACAGUGGUAACAAUGACAACGAGCCUGGCCUGAACGACUGCCACGAUGCUCUUCAGAAACAAAUUGCAAUUUACUGGGACUUCACCCAGGGUAAAGAAUUGAAGAACAAACAGACAGGGAGAUGUUUGGAAAUUGUAAAGGGCAAACUCUUGUUACAAGAAUGUACAGGCCAAAGAUGGGAAAUCCAAAAUGUUAUCAAACCUUUCUAAUAUAUGUCGUCAAUGUGGACUGCAACUACAUUGAUGAUCAUUAAUAAGCCAAUUUACAAAAGUCCAUUUACUACUAUCCACUAUGCUGUAUGCCAAUGUAUAACCUUUUUUUAUAAUACUCUUAUGUAACUUUGACACAAAGAAAGAAUGUAAAUUUUUCUAUGAAUAUAUAAUACAUUUCCAAAAACACUGUAAUCUCUUUUUAAACAGAUGAUUUGUUUCAGUUAAAAAGUGCCUUAUAUUGUUGAAAUGUUUGUAUUUGCUAUAAAGCUGUAACAAGCGAUGUGAUAAUUGGUGAACCUAUCUUGAAAAGCUGGGGGCUUUCCAGCUUCAAGCAAACCGUGGCUAUGGGGUCCAUAAAGGUAGCACCUGUCUGAGUCAGAACCAAUGAUAUUGCAGACGCUCACAUGCCUUUUCCUAAAGGAGGAGUUUAAGUUGGGAUAGAAGACAAUAUUUUCUUGCUCUAUUUUAGGGGCUCCAUGGGACAUCUACUUUUUUUAUUAAAUGUAUUGAUUCUUCGGUAAACCUAACUUGAUUGAA
Long non-coding RNA from Gadus morhua (Atlantic cod), 1057 nucleotides. RefSeq lists it as uncharacterized. The record is from RefSeq and is a predicted model, not a curated record. Lineage: Eukaryota; Metazoa; Chordata; Actinopteri; Gadiformes; Gadidae. The transcript has 4 exons.